UACAGAGGUCUCAAGCGUUGUUCGGAUUCAUUGGGCGUAAAGGGUGCGUAGGCGGCGCGGUAAGUCGGGUGUGAAAUCUUGGAGCUUAACUCCGAAACUGCAUUCGAUACUGCCGUGCUUGAGGACUGGAGAGGAGACUGGAAUUUACGGUGUAGCGGUGAAAUGCGUAGAUAUCGUAAGGAAGACCAGUGGCGAAGGCGGGUCCCUGGACAGUUCCUGACGCUGAGGCGCGAAAGCCAGGGGAGCGAACGGG
This 253-nucleotide ribosomal RNA is filed under the name uncultured bacterium. RNAcentral describes it as "partial 16S ribosomal RNA". It matches the Rfam family "Bacterial small subunit ribosomal RNA", at positions 524 to 776 of the family's 1533-position model. The record is from RNAcentral.